UAAAAACGCGGUGACGACUAUGGUUUUAUUGACGUUAACCUUAUCCAUAGCUUGAUGGUCAUGAAUUUACCGCUACAACGCAAUAAUACAAUGUAGGCUACAAUCUCCAACACAGACUUUUACAAUUGUUAAAAUAUAAUGUCCAAAAAAACACCAUAAAAAGAAACUAAGAUCAAAUGAGCAAACAAAUAAGUAAAUAAAAAGAUAAAUAAAUAGAAUGAAGUUACAUAAAAAAAAAUCUUAGUAGCAUCAAAAGAAAUUGUGAAAACCAACUAAUGAUUUAAUGACCUACAAAUGCCAACUAUUUUCACUUUCAAUAUAGCAUUCAUCAUGUUUGUAUGUAAGAUAAGAUUUAUUUCAAAGACAAUAUUCUAUAAUUUUAAAUACUAGAUGCAUAGUCAAAAGAGUGGAUACAAAUAACCAUAUAAAGUUGGUGAAAGUAAAUAAACACAGAAAAAUAUGAUGAGAUACAUUGCAUAACAUCUAUCUAUCAGCCUAUUUACAAAAAUAAUGCUCAGAACUAUAACCAAUUUAUAAGCCCAUGUGUACUUUAAACAAAACUAAACAAGUAACAAAUAAAAUAUGAAAAGAAACAAACAACAGCAAAAGAGUAAAAUCUCCAUUACCUUUCUCUCUCAAUCAUAUCUCAAUAUUUUUCACAAAUUUAUUGUUAUGAAGACAUGUUUCUCGCAGAAGAUAACAAAAUCAAAUUCCACACUUAUUCUUUCUAGAUUUGAUCAACAACAAUAAAAAUAAAAAUCAUGGAUUAAACCAAAAUCAUCUCUCAAUCUCUCACAAUUAAACGCAAAAUCAAAACCACAAUAUAGAUCUAAAACAAAAUGAUAACUAAGUAGGUGAUUGCAAGAUGAUCUUUUUCGAUGGUUUAUGUUUGUGAGGAAGAGGUUGAAAUUGAGCUACAACUCAUGCACAUUGAUGAUAAGUGAUGUUUAUGGAGAAAAUGUUGUGGUUGACCUUGGAUGAGUGGGUUGAUUGGUGGUGGCUCACGGAGAGGAGGUUAAUGGCGGAUCCAUUUAUGUGCGUUUGGUGUUGUUGAUAAAAGGUUGUUUUGUGUUGAGAUUUUUGUGUGAGGUUGGUGAGUUUACGUUCAUCUAUGACAGUGAAAAAAGAACAUGUUUUCGAUUUGGCAAAUGGAUAGGAAGAUUGGAGAAGAGCCCCUUACUUUUUCCAAUUUUUUGCUUAUUAUUUCAAGUUACUAGAGAGAGAUAAUCAUCUUUUUGUGUGGUUCUAGUUUUCGUGAGAGACGAUGGGGAGCAGGUUAUUUGUGAGAGUGAAUAAUGGUGGGACCUGUGGCAUGCCACAAGUGGCUCUUUUUAUUUUUUUUUGUUUUAUUACCAAAACCAAUUACCAGGAGAG
Molecule: long non-coding RNA, 1374 nt
Filed under: Lathyrus oleraceus (garden pea)
Lineage: Eukaryota; Viridiplantae; Streptophyta; Magnoliopsida; Fabales; Fabaceae
Description: Pisum sativum (pea) long non-coding RNA (PSAT_LNC007235)
Source: RNAcentral